CAUACAGAACUUCUCACGUCGAUGACUACUUCAUUAUCGUUAUCAGUUUUGCCUUACUCAGAGGAGUACAAGUGGCAGUCCGAAGGUGAAGAACCGUCGACUUCUCUGAUAACGCGAGGGAAGAUUAAGAGGGAACCUCCCUGUUUUAAACGGUCACGAUGCAACAGCCAAUUCGGUUGGGCGACGAGAGUUCACAUUUGAAUGCUCGAGGUGUCAUUGGUCGAUACAUCUCCAGUGCAAUCUUACUUCCUCCUGAAUGGCUGGAGAAGGAGAGAGAAGUCAAGGGUGGAAGUUGCCUCAGAGCUGGCAAAGCUAAUCUAUCAAGAGCUUCACCUUCCGAACGAGGUAUAUAAAGACCCCGGUAUGCUCGCUCGCUCAUGAUGCUCGAUUUCACCAGAGCUCUCUGUCCCCGGAAGACGCCGCCGCCAUGAGACUCGACUUUUAACGCGGAAGCUUCUCUUCCAAGAGCCCCCUCGGGAUGACUUUAAUUGGAUGGAAGGCAAGCAAGCGCUAAGGAGAAAUAAUUAUACGAUGCUGAGUUACAACAAAAUUCAAAUACAGAGAUGAUGGUUGUGACACACACAUUCAGUGAAGCUUCCUAUUCCGUAGAAAAUUAUUUAUCUUCAUUCCACCUGCAGAGGAAAACCCACCAGGGGCGAAGAGGGUCUGACCAUUAUGCAAAUGGCGCAGCCAAUCACGAAGCAUCAUUCAUCAAAGCCUCACCAUCUUCGGCCCUUAUCCAUUUUACAUCAGCUACAGCAGAGAAUGAUAUUCAUUAUACAUUUACAUAUUCUGACAGAGAGAUUUUUGCCUGUAACGAAAUAAUACAGCCCCGUCUCAUCGUGUGAUGGGAUCUGAGCGUCAGGGGGCCAUCUUCCGAUUUUUGUCUCUGGGGUCUUCGUUCAAUUCCACCACCCGAUCACAGAUAGUCAGUCUCAUAACAUGACGAGAAAAUGUUCCUCUCCACGUGGGAAAAUGCAAUUUGUCCUAAUUAUUGUGGUGGGAUUUAUCCUCAACUUGUGAUCAGAUUUUUCCCCUCCAACAAUUCGAGCCCUUCAAAUAAUAGGCCUAAAACCUUUUCUUUUUUUAUUCAUGCAAGUAAAACAGAUUCCUUCAAGACUGGAAUAUGUUUAACGCCACGGAUUUUAUUCUGAAAGGUUUCUCUCUUCCCCCGUCACCUAUUUUGCUUUGCAUAUUCUAUGACGUCAUUAGUCCUGUCUUUUUUUUAUUUAAUAUUUUUUUUAAACUCUGGAUAAUACUAAAUCGUUACUUAUAUCUGUUCAACUUUAUUUCUUAAUCGAUUCUUAUUCAUGGUUGUUCCAGUGCAUCCAUUUUUGCUUUUGGAAUGACACUCUAAUAUUUGUUUACUGAAUGUGUGUGUGUGUGUGUGUGUGUGUGUGCGCGCGUGUGUGUGUGUCACUGACCCGCGGUCUCCCUGUGAAUGAAGCCCCAUUGCUCAUUUCAUUCUUAAAUUACAUGACAACUUUUCGCAAAUGAUGACGACGUCGCUUAUUUUACUAUCCAUUGGAACUAGUUUUAAGUUUUCUAUUUCGAAUACUAUGAAUGUUGAACUUAUAAUAAUAUGUGCUGUCUAAAUGUCCCUAUGAGGCUGGACAUUUUAUUCCUUUUAAUGUAGUUUUCGUUUUUGCUUUCCUGUGUUUAAAUCGCUCACACAAAAUAUGUCACUGUUGACAACCCUUAUCGUUUAUUUGCUUCACUUAUCGAAAAUGGAAGUAUUUGAAUGACAUUUUAUUAUGUAAUUGUUCGAACACGGGCUAAAUGCAACCUGUGAUCAUCAAUAAUUUGAUCCAUGUACUUAUGAAGCCUAAAGAUUGAUAUAAAUCGCAUAAUUAUUUCCUAUCGACAUUUAGUUUCGUUGACAAUGGCAUUAUAUGUACUAGUUUGUUUAUGAGUCUUAUGUAGUUAUAAAAAGUCCUAUAAAAACUCCACUCUAUGUCGUUUCUGGUGCUUUAGGAUUAGACUGUCUAUAAAAAUAAACUUAUUUUCACCAUUUAUGGAUAAAUAUAAAUUCCUAUAUCACAUUUACGUAGCUUUACAUUACACACUUUUACAAGCAGGAUACAGUCAGACGGGAUCCUUUCCUCAAAAGUGUCAUAAAGUUCCAAUCGUAUUCUUUAAAUUGUUAUUCUCUGCAUUAUCCUCACUGUCUUUUUGGUUGAAGUUCUUCAUACAUUUUUCAUAUCUACGUAUGAAUAUCUGCAAAGCUGUGUGUGAGUUUGUAAAGAUAGGUGUGUGUGUAUAGUAUAAUAGAAUAUAAUAUAUAAUAUACAUAAUUAACAGAAAGGACUUCAAUCAAGUCACUUGCACAUGAUUUCGUUACUGGUUAAAAUGAAAACUGAAACUCAGUGAACUUGGACUUACAAUGCUAUUGUUAAUGAUUUCGUUUUAUUUCUAGUUAGUAUUUUUUUUCAUCACAUGUUCGUAUGAAAACCAUUCUUAGUAAGCCUAUUUUUUCCUAGUCAACGUGGAAGAUUUUUCGCUUCUAUGAUAUAAUUUGUCGCCAAUAAAUUGUAUUUUUGUAUAUAA
Molecule: long non-coding RNA, 2547 nt
Organism: Macrobrachium nipponense
Lineage: Eukaryota; Metazoa; Arthropoda; Malacostraca; Decapoda; Palaemonidae
Exons: 2
Source: RefSeq, a predicted model, not a curated record